UAUAGUUUUUGCCAUCACCAGCACUUUGCUCUCUGGGACAACUUUGCCAGGGGCUCAGACACACUGACACACAUGACAAAGCAGGCGUCUUCCCAAGUGAGGCGCCUCUGGUCAGAACGUGCUCCCGUGUCCUUACGAGCCACCAGCUUCUCGUGUUUGGCAGACCGGUCUGGGCAGUGGCCUGAUCUCCUUUGCACUCACAGGACUGGAAUGAGCACCAGGCCAGAGAGUUCACUGGAAACAACAACUUUGUAAUCGAGUUUCUGUCUCCAUGAUCCUCUUUCAGCAGCAAACAGCCACAGCGACCGGGAACAGGAUGGCCAGACACGUUCCAUUUCCUUCAGCACAGUCUGGAGAUUAGAGCAGGCCUCCCUCCGGGCUUUGGGUCACAUGGAUCCUUUGAGCAGGAUGUGCAAGGACGUAGCUACUCAUCGUGAAGGUUCCCCAAACGAGUAAACAUUCAUGCGUCUA
Erinaceus europaeus (western European hedgehog) is the source of this 471-nucleotide long non-coding RNA. RefSeq lists it as uncharacterized. The record is from RefSeq and is a predicted model, not a curated record. NCBI's taxonomy places the organism in Eukaryota, Metazoa, Chordata, Mammalia, Eulipotyphla, Erinaceidae. The transcript is spliced from 2 exons.